UCCCUUGUGGCUUAGCUGGUAAAGAAUCUGCCUGCAAUGCAGGAAACCUGGGUUUGAUCCCUAGGUUGGGAA
This 72-nucleotide transfer RNA is filed under the name Bos taurus (domestic cattle). It matches the Rfam family "tRNA". From Rfam's summary of the family: Transfer RNA (tRNA) molecules are approximately 80 nucleotides in length. Their secondary structure includes four short double-helical elements and three loops (D, anti-codon, and T loops). Further hydrogen bonds mediate the characteristic L-shaped molecular structure. tRNAs have two regions of fundamental functional importance: the anti-codon, which is responsible for specific mRNA codon recognition, and the 3' end, to which the tRNAs corresponding amino acid is attached (by aminoacyl-tRNA synthetases). tRNAs cope with the degeneracy of the genetic code in two manners: having more than one tRNA (with a specific anti-codon) for a particular amino acid; and 'wobble' base-pairing, i.e. permitting non-standard base-pairing at the 3rd anti-codon position. Lineage: Eukaryota; Metazoa; Chordata; Mammalia; Artiodactyla; Bovidae. The record is from Rfam by way of RNAcentral. RNAcentral also lists the same sequence under 4 other names.